UCCUCAGUUCGGACUGGGGUCUGCAACCGACCCCACGAAGCUGGAUUCGCUAGUAAUCGCGCAUCAGCCAUGGCGCGGUGAAUACGUUCCCGGGCCUUGUACACACCGCCCGUCAAGCCAUGGGAGCCGGGGGCGCCUGAAGUCCGGGACCGCGAGGACCGGCCUAGGGCGAAACUGGUAACUGGGGCUAAGUCGUAACAAGGUAAC
This 207-nucleotide ribosomal RNA is filed under the name uncultured bacterium. Its description in RNAcentral is "partial 16S ribosomal RNA". It matches the Rfam family "Bacterial small subunit ribosomal RNA", at positions 1285 to 1500 of the family's 1533-position model. The record is from RNAcentral.